Molecule: unclassified non-coding RNA, 653 nt
Filed under: Hevea brasiliensis (rubber tree)
Lineage: Eukaryota; Viridiplantae; Streptophyta; Magnoliopsida; Malpighiales; Euphorbiaceae
Source: RNAcentral
UGCUGGGGCUAGCUUGAGCUAGUUAAGGAUUGUAUUCCUGGAAUAUUGCUAUUUUUAUUGUUGAAUGGAACUUGGCCAUUUGUGGCCUUUUAGUCUUUGUGUUUCCCUUUUCUAUUCUUCUCUCUUGUUUUCUAUUCUUCUUUUUGGAUUUUUGCUCUUAACUCUAUCAGUCCAUGGGUUUUUGCAGAUGUAUGCCAACAAAGAUGGACUUUUAGUUAUUUUCCCAAAUCCAAAGUAAAAUCAGUUAAUGCAAAUUUUCUUUUUUGGCUUGUUGAUAAUUGGAAGGCCUAUGAAAGGAUUUCACAUACACAAACUGGCAAUUAUUUUAUACAUAAUACACCAUUGCACAGCCAGUGCAAUGCUCAAAAACCAUAAACACCCAUUUUACAACCUUUGACAUUUAAAUUGAUUCACAAUGCCCAAAAGUGGUAGCAAAAACCUUAUAAGUCAUUCACAGUCAAGAUAAAUUAAUUCAUACUUCAGUUGCAGACAUCUCAAACUGUCAGCUAAUGCACAUAAAGUCUCUAACUAUAUGAUUAUCCUCCAAUUAUUGAAAUUCUGUGAAGCAUGGAAACGGCUACAGAUGGAGUUUCCCCUUUUUGGAAACGUUUCCAACACAGAAACAGUGGGAUACGGCAAAGAAUCGUUUCAGG